UUUUAGAGUCUUGAUCUGUGUCUCACUGGCUGAGCACUCAACAGGGAGGGAGUAGGUAGCUCAUAUUGCUUGCAGAAUUUACAUAAAGUGCUUAAACAGAUAUGUAAACCCUGGGUGACUUGCCAGGCAUGGUAGUAAAAUUUCUCAGCAGGCGUGAUACCCUGUAGCGAGGACCUUCUAAAUGGACUCACAGGGAGAAAUGGGGCGGUUCAAAGGUAAAGACAAUAGUUUCAAGCCUACACCAAGGCGAGCUGGCACAGGGAUUGCCACAGAAAGAGAGGUGGCAGUGUUUAACCACUCCAGUUCUGGAAAACUCCAUCCAUCCCUCCUCCACCACCACCACCACCACCACCUCCUCUUGCUCAACACAGUGCUUCAAAGGAGCUUGGUGAAUGGGCGAGUCUUGGGCGAUGGGACUGAACACAACCUCCUGCUCACUGGGCCACCUGGAUUGCCUAAUAGCUGUCAACUCAUCCUCUCUGCGGUGGGGCUUUAGUGUUGCCCUGAAGACAGCACAGCACAGCGGCUGUUGCAGGCUACCACUGGAAGCUUCUGCCAAAGCGGGCUAUCCCAUCAGCCCUCUGGCACACUGUGUUGAUCAGUAGAUAAAACCUUCCCGGCAGUCACAGCCGCCGCUGCCACUGACGAGGCCACAGCAGCGAGCAAGCGGCUCUGCGGAAUUCACUAACUGCCUCUCCACCUGCCGUCACCUCCUUGGGUCCCUCAAGGUUCUCCUUGUGGCUGAUAGUCAUGGUGAUUGCUUGACCUCGGGCCUUGCAGCUGGCUGGCUUCCAGGAAGCUCCUCUGAUGACAAGAUAUUUCCUUAACACCUACCUUGUGCUGUGUAGACUUGGCCUAUGAGCAUGCGGUGAGGAAUGGAGGAAGCGCUCCAGCUACAAGACAUGAACAAUGUCCUCCUCGCCUGCAUGGAGGGAGGUCCCAAGUCAUAAACCCACAGAGAAGGCCGCAAGAGCCGCGGAUGUCCCUAGAGUGAGGAAAGGACAAAUCAACCCUUUAACUUUGCUUCCCUUCCCCCUGCACCACUGCUGAGUGUCUCAGCUUCAGUUUCUGAUCAGUCUUGCCAGAGCUGUGUCCAUUCUCUCCCUUCCUUUUCACAUUCUAACCCCUCUUAGCCUUGGUACCUGGGUGGUGGGGAUGGGGAGGAAAGAGGAGAGACAACGAGGUGGCGAGAGAUGACAGUGCUCAUCACCUUUAAGUGGGUUCCAGCUCAAUGCUAAAUUCAGCAUCAGCUGCCAGGCAGCUUCCAAGGGUCCCUCGCAUGAGGCCCCUCUUGCCCAAGGAUCAUGCUGGCCUCAGCAUUUCUGACAGACCUCACCUUCCAGCGGCUACCAAUCUUCCCUCAAGGAACCCUCAAAACACUGCCUGUUUUUCUUCUCCUCUUUUUUUGUCCCUGCCUUCAGCACAAAAACCAGGGGAUUCUUUGGAUUUUCUUUAGAAUAUCCAAUCAAGGGACAAAAAGGCACAGACAGACAAACCAUUACAACAGAAGCAAUACCCAAACAGAAAGACUCUCUUUCCAGAAUUUAGGAAUUGGCAGGAGGUUCCUUUUCCCAUCUUUGACACCUCUAGAAGCCCACAGUCUAACUAAGAGUUAGCUGUGAAUACAUUACAUAAAGACUCAAAAUUACUGCAGAGUAAAUAUAUCUAAAGAUUUGAGCUACCUUACAAGAGCUAAAAUUGAGUAGAGAAUGGUUAUACUAUUCUUCACUAGAUAAGAAGUUUAAAUUCAAAAACAAAUAAAUAAAAGGUAAUUCGUGCUCAAGUGGCCCAAAGGCCUAUUGCAGAUACGGCUGGAGAGCAGAGGAACAGUCUAGGUACCAUAUGCACUCCCUGGGCUGAGUCCACACGGCCAGUCCUGGUGGCAGUGAAUGUGGGACCUGGCCCUCAUAAGAAGGCAUAGUACGCUGGACUCAGUGUCUCAUGCCUGUAAUCCCAAUAUUUUGGGCAGCCAAAGCAGGUGGAUGACUUGAGCUCAGGAGUUUGAGACCAGCCUGGCAACAUGACGAGACCCUGUCUCUACUAAAAAAAAAAAAAAAAAAAAAAAAAAAAAAAAAAAAAAGAGGGGGCACGGUGGUGUGCCUAUAGUCCCAGCUAUUCAGGAGGCUGAGGUGGAAGGACACUUGAGCCUGGUGGGGCCAAGGUUGCAGUGAGCCAAGAUCCUGUCUCCAAAAAAAAAAAAAAAAAAUAUCAGUAGAAUGGAAAGCUCAAGAUGAGUCACUUUCAUUUAUUUUACCAACAAAAUUCCAUUGUUAGACGCAUGGGGAGAGAAAAGGCCAGUGUCAUGGGAACACAAAAUAGAGUUCACAUUUCUAAGUCUUUCUAAGGUACAAGGUGGAUUUUUACAACAGUUUCAAAUAAUCUAAAUCCUUCCCUAAAUGCUGCCUGUGCAUAUUUACACACUGUCAGCUUAUCAGAUAGUUCAACUAUAAGCAGUUAAAUGCUAAUUAGAACUUUGUCACACCGAUCAGCUUUGUAAAACAUGGGAAGGUGCCAGUGCAGCAUCCCCUGGCCUGGCCAGCUGAUGGGCCCUUCCCAUCAGCAGUCCAUAAGGUAGGAUGUGGCCUCAGGUGGUUCUGGAUUAUCUCAUUAGAGCUGUAGUGAGAAGCUCACUAGAGAUUUAAAUUCUAAGGCCCGAGGCCCUUAAGGCUAAGUUGAAAAGCCCAAGUACUCAGUGCCAUCGCUCUAUUAAAACUGGGAUGAAAAGAAAGCUGGGAAGGAACUGGUCUGAAAAGCUAGCUGAAAAGAAAGCUGUUAGCCACCCAGACCUGGUCCCAGCCACAAGGAUCUGACAUUUGGAACAUAAAGCUAUAGUGUGGCCUUAACUCCGAGAUAUUCAAAUAGAUGAGAAAAAGGGUAAAUAAUUUUAGCAAAAAUGUGUCAUCAUUUUCAAGACCCAGACUACCAGAUUCUAUAAUAGAAAACUGAGAAGAUAAGAUAAAACAUCUAAAUACAUGUUCUGCCUAAGAUUACUUUUGAGGUUUUGUUUGUUGUGUCACUGAAUUCUGCCCAAAACUUGUGUACAAUUUGCUUAUUGUCUUGACACCGUCCCCCAACCAUUUCCAUUUAUUUAUUUUUCUAAGAUUUUCUUUCCAACCGAAAUAGACUAGCCAGGGUAACGCCACAGCCCCAAAUAACAUUGAGUUGGGAUAAAUGAGAGGUACUUCAGUUGUUCAGGCAGUAUCCUUGAUAACUCAAAAGACAAUGUUUAUCUAAUUUAAACAUAAACAAACAAAAUUUUUAAAUAUAAGCCUGAGGACAACACAAAACUGAGAAGUAGAGGGGGUUUGUUCAUGUAAAUACCCAGUACUACAUGGAGAAUCUAGCCCCAGUGGUGAACACCUUGGUACAGCUUCACCAUUAAAGAUAUACUAAAAAAACAAACAAACAAACAAAAAUCCCAUCUAUUAUAGGAAACAACAAAUGCAACAAAAUCCUUUUUUUUUUUUUUUUUGAGAUGGAGUCUCACUCUGUCACCCAGGGUGGAGUGCAGUAGCGUGAUCUUGGCUCACUGCAACCUCCGUCUCCUGGGUUCAAGCAAUUCUCUGCCUCAGCCUCCCGAGUAGCUAGGAUUGCAGGUGCCCACCACCAUACCUGGCUAAUUUUUGUAUUUUUAGCAGAGACAGGGUUUCACCAUAUUGGCCAGGCUGGUCUUGAGCUCCUGACCUCGUAAUCUACCCGCCUCGGCCUCCCAAAGUGCUGGGAUUACAGGCAUGAGCCGCUGCGCCCGGUCAACAAAAUCUUGUUCUAAGAAAUAUCAAACGGGGAUUGGGGCGGUUAUUUUCUACGCUGAAAAAUCCCCUAUUUAAGACCCUAUGCCAUGGUUUGAAUAUGUCCUCCAAAAUUCAUGUGUUGGAAACUUAGUCUGCAAUGUAACAAUGUUAAGAGGUAGGAUACCUUUAAGAGGUGAUUGGGUUAAAGCUAUUAUUGCUGGAGUAGAUUAGUUACUGUGGGAAUGGGUUUCUGAUAAAAGAAUGAGUUCAGCUCCCUUCCUUUCUCUCUCUCUCUCUCUCCCUCCCUCUCUCUUACCCUCUGUCUUCCAUCAUGAGAUAGCACAGCAAAAAGGCCCUCACCAUAUGCAACCUCAUCAAUCUGGGACUUUCCAACCUCCAGAAGUGUAAAAAAUAAAUCUGUUUUUCAUAAAUUAUCAAGUCUUAGUCUGUUAUAGCAGUACAAAAUGGACUAAGACAUCCUCCAACUUCUAAAGGACAACUUCCACAGAACUCACAAGAGAAACCCCAUUCAAGGAGCUCUAGGAAAGACCAGUGUUAUGCAACUUCAUUCUUAGGAAGCUGAGUGAUUCUAGAGAUGGUCUCCUCUCAAAAAGAAUCAAGUUAUAAACUCUGGCCAAUGCCAAACUAAUUUGAUGUUGUUUACACAACAUGAGAACUUUGGUCAUGCUCUUAUUGUGGACAUGCCUAAGGUUUAUGUAAGAGACUAGAUCUCUGCCUGUAUUAUUUGGGCUCUUAGCCACCACUGGAGCAGUGGACUCUCUACCUCUUUAGAGCACCUGUACUAAAUGCUGCUAUAGGGUCAUCUUAUAGUAGAAAGCAGAAAGGCAAGUGAGCAGGCAAGACAGAGAGGACAUCAGACCACAUUUAUCCUUUGAUCAGGAGCCACUCCCAUAGUAAUAGGCCCUCAUGACCUAAUCACCACUUAAAGGCCCCACCUCCCAGUACUAUUA
RNAcentral lists this long non-coding RNA (4702 nucleotides) under Homo sapiens (human). RNAcentral's name for it is "HSALNT0101122". The record is from RNAcentral. Lineage: Eukaryota; Metazoa; Chordata; Mammalia; Primates; Hominidae.